This 311-nucleotide ribosomal RNA is filed under the name uncultured Desulfobulbus sp. RNAcentral's name for it is "bacterial SSU rRNA". It matches the Rfam family "Bacterial small subunit ribosomal RNA", at positions 1072 to 1382 of the family's 1533-position model. Lineage: Bacteria; Pseudomonadati; Thermodesulfobacteriota; Desulfobulbia; Desulfobulbales; Desulfobulbaceae. The record is from RNAcentral.
UGUUCGGGUUAAGUCCCGCAACGAGCGCAACCCUUGCCUUAGUUGCCAGCAGUUCGGCUGGGCACUCUAAAGGGACUGCCGGUGUUAAACCGGAGGGAAGGUGGGGAUGACGUCAAGUCCUCAUGGCCUUUAUGACCAGGGCUACACACGUACUACAAUGGCCGAUACAAAGGGCAGCGACACUGCGAGGUGAAGCCAAUCCCGUAAAAUCGGUCUCAGUCCGGAUUGGAGUCUGCAACUCGACUCCAUGAAGUUGGAAUCGCUAGUAAUCGUGGAUCAGCAUGCCACGGUGAAGUACGUUCCCGGGCCUU